Bombus impatiens (common eastern bumble bee) is the source of this 956-nucleotide long non-coding RNA. RefSeq lists it as uncharacterized. NCBI's taxonomy places the organism in Eukaryota, Metazoa, Arthropoda, Insecta, Hymenoptera, Apidae. The record is from RefSeq and is a predicted model, not a curated record. The transcript is spliced from 2 exons.
UCCUUUAUGUAGCCAUACUGUAACGUUCUCUGAACGAUGAUUGGUUAAUGUGUAUUAUUCGAUUUUUAUUAACCAAUCAGCAACGAGAAUAAUAUUAUCGCUUUAUUUCGUAAAAAAGAUUAGUUAAAAUACAUACUAUUCGUCUAUAAACAUUAAUAAAAGCUGGAAAAGUGAUUUAAGCAUUUUGGUUGAACAUUUGCACUAAAAUAUAUUUAGCAAAAUUAUUAAAUGAUUCAAGGAUUAACUCAGCCAUAUUAACUAUUGUGCCACUUUUUUGAAGAAGUAAACUUUAUGUUUCAAAAAAUAGAGUAUAUGUGAUGUUCUUGAAGCUAUAUUUAGACAAGAAGCGGGACAUUUAAGAAGAAAACGUGGUAGAAUCAAUAAUGGUUUUAUUAAAUUAAAAAAGUAUAAAGCUUAUACAUUUAUAACAAGUGAGAACACAUACAUAAUAAAAGAUAUUUAUUUUAAUAUACUGGACAUUUGUAUGGUGUGCCAUCCUUACAACAAUAUUCUCUUCCAGCAGAAAGAUUUGUGUUAAUCCAUCCACUGUUACAAUUUUUAAUAAAUAAGUAAGCCUAAUAUAAAGAAAUUAUAUAAUAUAAUGUUGUUUAAUAGUUAAUUUGAAGCUAUUGUGAAACAUUAAAAUAAAACUUACCCUUUCCUUAUGACAGUCAUAUUUUAUUGAAUUACAUAGUAUUUUAGGACUGUUUGGCAGAUGUUUAAUAAUCUAUAGUAAAUAUUUCAUAUUUUGUGUUACUUGAGAUAAGAAAUUAACUGUAUCAUCAAUAAAAUAUAUGUGUGGUAAUAAUUUUGUAUUUCUAUAGAUUAACUCACAGUGUCCAAGCAUUUAUUUGUACACAGUUUAUUCCCGGUUGGAGUACAUGAAAAUGCUCCAGGUAAAUCAUGAAAAAUAGCAGGCUCUCCCUUAGGUGAUUCUUUACCAUCCUUUUUAAAUU